GAUGAACGCUGGCGGCGUGCCUAAUACAUGCAAGUCGAGCGAACGGACGAGAAGCUUGCUUCUCUGAUGUUAGCGGCGGACGGGUAAGUAACACGUGGAUAACCUACCUAUAAGACUGGUAUAACUUCGGGAAACCGGAGCUAAUACCGGAUAAUAUUUUGAACCGCAUGGUUCAAAAGUGAAAGACGGUCUUGCUGUCACUUAUAGAUGGAUCCGCGCUGCAUUAGCUAGUUGGUAAGGUAACGGCUUACCAGGGCAACGAUGCAUAGCCGACCUGAGAGGGUGAUCGGCCACACUGGAACUGAGACACGGUCCAGACUCCUACGGGAGGCAGCAGUAGGGAAUCUUCCGCAAUGGGCGAAAGCCUGACGGAGCAACGCCGCGUGAGUGAUGAAGGUCUUCGGAUCGUAAAACUCUGUUAUUAGGGAAGAACAUAUGUGUAAGUAACUGUGCACAUCUUGACGGUACCUAAUCAGAAAGCCACGGCUAACUACGUG
This 497-nucleotide ribosomal RNA is filed under the name uncultured bacterium. Its description in RNAcentral is "partial 16S ribosomal RNA". It matches the Rfam family "Bacterial small subunit ribosomal RNA", at positions 28 to 507 of the family's 1533-position model. The record is from RNAcentral.